AAACGACUCUCGACAACGGAUAUCUCGGCUCUCGCAUCGAUGAAGAACGUAGCGAAAUGCGAUACUUGGUGUGAAUUGCAGAAUCCCGUGAACCAUCGAGUCUUUGAACGCAAGUUGCGCCCCAAGCCGUUAGGCCGAGGGCACGUCUGCCUGGGUGUCACACA
Molecule: ribosomal RNA, 164 nt
Filed under: Oxalis corniculata
Lineage: Eukaryota; Viridiplantae; Streptophyta; Magnoliopsida; Oxalidales; Oxalidaceae
Description: 5.8S ribosomal RNA
Rfam family: 5.8S ribosomal RNA
About the family: 5.8S ribosomal RNA (5.8S rRNA) is a component of the large subunit of the eukaryotic ribosome. It is transcribed by RNA polymerase I as part of the 45S precursor that also contains 18S and 28S rRNA.
Source: RNAcentral